GGAGGUGGAUGGGGCCCGGUGGCCCUUGCGGUCUUCAAAACCGUUGUGCCGUCGCAAGGCGGCGGGUAGGUUCGACUCCUAUCCACCUCCGCCA
RNAcentral lists this transfer RNA (94 nucleotides) under Kiritimatiellia bacterium. RNAcentral's name for it is "Kiritimatiellae bacterium (wastewater metagenome) tRNA-Sec". It matches the Rfam family "Selenocysteine transfer RNA". Lineage: Bacteria; Pseudomonadati; Kiritimatiellota; Kiritimatiellia. The record is from RNAcentral.